Juglans microcarpa x Juglans regia is the source of this 320-nucleotide long non-coding RNA. RefSeq lists it as uncharacterized. NCBI's taxonomy places the organism in Eukaryota, Viridiplantae, Streptophyta, Magnoliopsida, Fagales, Juglandaceae. The transcript is spliced from 2 exons. The record is from RefSeq and is a predicted model, not a curated record.
UUUCCUCUAGGGACCAAAACCCUAAUGUGUAAAUAGAUUUCAGUGUGGAUGUGGAUUUUUUCAAGUUGCAAACUAAUUUCGUCGUCUGGUGUGGAUUUCAUCUGCUAUGCAUACAUAUUUCUUCUAGUGCAAAUAGAUUUCUUCUAGUGGUCUCUGUUUAGUUACUCCCUUUGUUUUGGUGCUCUCUGUAUCUCCUUCCUAAUGUAUUUCCUUUUCUUGUGCUUUCAAAGAAAAAUAAUCUAACUUUUUCAACUAAGAACAUGUUGUAGAAUAGAGAAAAAUAGUAUUAUACCAACAUGGGAGAAAUUUUGUUCUAAUGA